RNAcentral lists this ribosomal RNA (497 nucleotides) under uncultured bacterium. RNAcentral's name for it is "partial 16S ribosomal RNA". It matches the Rfam family "Bacterial small subunit ribosomal RNA", at positions 28 to 507 of the family's 1533-position model. The record is from RNAcentral.
GACGAACGCUGGCGGCGUGCCUAAUACAUGCAAGUCGAGCGAACAGAAGAGGACCUUGCUCCUCUGACGUUAGCGGCGGACGGGUGAGUAACACGUGGAUAACCUGCCUAUAUGACUGGGAUAACGUCGGGAAACCGGAGCUAAUACUGGAUAAUCUCUUGCAUCGCAUGGUGCAUUAGUGAAAGGCGGUGUUGCUGUCACGUAUAGACGGAUCCUCGCCGCAUUAGCUAGUUGGUAGGUUGCCGGCUUACGAAGGCAACGAUGGUUAGCCGGCCGGCGAGGGUGAUGGGCCACCGUGCACCUUGGACACGGUCCAGGCUCCUGCGGGCGGCAGCAGUAGGGAAUCGUCCACAAUGGGCGAAGGCCUGACGGCGCAACCCCGCGUGAGUGAUGAGGGUCGUCGGAUCGUGAGUCUUUGUUAUUAGGGGAGAACGAAUAUGUAAGUAACUAUGCACGUCGUGACGGUACCUAAUCAGAAAGCCACGGCUAACUACGUG